Molecule: ribosomal RNA, 232 nt
Filed under: uncultured bacterium
Lineage: Bacteria
Description: partial 16S ribosomal RNA
Rfam family: Bacterial small subunit ribosomal RNA
Source: RNAcentral
UGAGCAAUCUGCCCUUCUCUUCGGAAUAAGCGUUGGAAACGACGUCUAAUGCCGAAUACGACCUCCUUUCGCAUGAUCGGAGGUGGAAAGCUCCGGCGGAGAAGGAUGAGCUCGCGGCCUAUCAGCUAGUUGGUGUGGGUAAUGGCCCACCAAGGCGACGACGGGUAGCCGGCCUGAGGAGGGUGACCGGCCACACGUGGGACUGAGACACGGCCCAGACCUCCGUACGGGA